UCCCUACGGGGCGCAGCAGUGGGGAAUAUUGCACAAUGGGGGAAACCCUGAUGCAGCGACGCCGCGUGAGUGAAGAAGUAUCUCGGUAUGUAAAGCUCUAUCAGCAGGGAAGAAAAUGACGGUACCUGACUAAGAAGCCCCGGCUAACUACGUGCCAGCAGCCGCGGUAAUACGUAGGGGGCAAGCGUUAUCCGGAUUUACUGGGUGUAAAGGGAGCGUAGACGGCAGAGAAAGUCUGAAGUGAAAGCCCGCGGCUCAACCGCGGAACUGCUUUGGAAACUUUUCGGCUAGAGUACCGGAGAGGU
RNAcentral lists this ribosomal RNA (305 nucleotides) under uncultured bacterium. RNAcentral's name for it is "bacterial SSU rRNA". It matches the Rfam family "Bacterial small subunit ribosomal RNA", at positions 335 to 658 of the family's 1533-position model. The record is from RNAcentral.